Molecule: transfer RNA, 53 nt
Filed under: Pomphorhynchus laevis
Lineage: Eukaryota; Metazoa; Acanthocephala; Palaeacanthocephala; Echinorhynchida; Pomphorhynchidae
Description: tRNA-Gly
Source: RNAcentral
AGUUAGGCAGUAUUAGGGUACAGACAAUUUCCAUUUGUCAGGGGUACUAGCUA